Mizuhopecten yessoensis (Yesso scallop) is the source of this 667-nucleotide long non-coding RNA. RefSeq lists it as uncharacterized. Lineage: Eukaryota; Metazoa; Mollusca; Bivalvia; Pectinida; Pectinidae. The transcript has 5 exons. The record is from RefSeq and is a predicted model, not a curated record.
AGCGAAAUGUACCAGUUUUCAAACAUGCGCCUUUGUUAGGAACAAAACAAUUAAAACCAACUUAAAAACACAAGAGGUGGAAAUAAUAAAAUGUGAAGUUGUAACUACUACAGACAUCAGUGAAUUUGUGUAAAGACUAGGUCGAUGUAAUCUAAACAUUUAUACCACGUACAUAAGAAAAUUCGUGCGAAAGACAGGCCAAGAUUAUUUAAAUAUAUCUACCGCAUUUAUCAGGGAAUAUAGCGAAUAACAAGACAUUUGCCUUACAUGUAGGUUCAUACACAGGUUGAAUAACCAACGGAUCACACGCGAUUGGUUAAGCCGACUGAAGGGUUUUAAAACAGCCAGAGUUCAGUAUGUCGUAUAUAGGCCUUGCCUUACAACUCCUCACCUGUUGCUGUAAACUUGUCGAACAUUAUCAAAAACGGAACGCAGAGGACGAUGCAGCUGUUCCAUCUUCAAACAUGCCUGCGUCAUCACGUGUUCAUCCCUUAGAUCAAGAAACAAACGGGGAAAACCCUCCGACGCUGUUCGAAAGUCCUACCGAACCAACAGAUGGUACAGUUGCCGAAGUGUGUUGACAGGCCUGCAUGUCAUUAACAAUUGGCAGUAUCUACACGCGGCGAACACUAUUUAAAUUAUUCCUUAUCAUUUAAUGUAUAUACAA